CCUACGGGAGGCAGCAGUGAGGAAUAUUGGUCAAUGGGCUAAGGCCUGAACCAGCCAAGUCGCGUGAGGGAAGACGGUCCUAUGGAUUGUAAACCUCUUUUGUCGGGGAGCAACGAGGCCACGUGUGGCCGAAGUGAGAGUACCCGAAGAAAAAGCAUCGGCUAACUCCGUGCCAGCAGCCGCGGUAAUACGGAGGAUGCGAGCGUUAUCCGGAUUUAUUGGGUUUAAAGGGUGCGUAGGUUGUUUUUUAAGUCAGCGGUGAAAGUUUGUGGCUCAACCAUAAAAUUGCCGUUGAAACUGGAAGACUUGAGUGUGUUUGAGGUAGGCGGAAUGCGUGGUGUAGCGGUGAAAUGCAUAGAUAUCACGCAGAACUCCGAUUGCGAAGGCAGCUUACUAAGCCAUAACUGACACUGAAGCACGAAAGCGUGGGGAUCAAACAGGAUUAGAUACCCGAGUAGUC
RNAcentral lists this ribosomal RNA (460 nucleotides) under uncultured bacterium. Its description in RNAcentral is "partial 16S ribosomal RNA". It matches the Rfam family "Bacterial small subunit ribosomal RNA", at positions 338 to 795 of the family's 1533-position model. The record is from RNAcentral.